RNAcentral lists this ribosomal RNA (322 nucleotides) under uncultured eukaryote. Its description in RNAcentral is "partial 18S ribosomal RNA". It matches the Rfam family "Eukaryotic small subunit ribosomal RNA", at positions 1470 to 1796 of the family's 1831-position model. The record is from RNAcentral.
CCCUUAGAUGUUCCGGGCCGCACGCGUGCUACACUGAGUGGAUCAGCGGGUCAGGUUGCGCGAAAGCGUUUCCUAAUCUUUAAAUCCGCUCGUGAUGGGGAUUGACGGUUGCAAUUUUCUGUCAUGAACGAGGAAUACCUUGUAAGCGCGGGUCAUCAUCCCGCGCUGAAUACGUCCCUGCCCUUUGUACACACCGCCCGUCGCUCCUACCGAUUGAGUGGUCCGGUGAGGCUUUGGGAUCUGAGCGGAAAGAGCGUUUCGCUGUUUCUGCUCGGAAAACUCAGUCGAACCUUAUCAUUUAGAGGAAGGAGAAGUCGUAACA